UACGUAGGGCGCAAGCGUUAUCCGGAAUUAUUGGGCGUAAAGAGCUCGUAGGCGGUUUGUCGCGUCUGCCGUGAAAGUCCGGGGCUCAACUCCGGAUCUGCGGUGGGUACGGGCAGACUAGAGUGAUGUAGGGGAGACUGGAAUUCCUGGUGUAGCGGUGAAAUGCGCAGAUAUCAGGACGAACACCGAUGGCGAAGGCAGGUCUCUGGGCAUUAACUGACGCUGAGGAGCGAAAGCAUGGGGAGCGAACAGG
RNAcentral lists this ribosomal RNA (253 nucleotides) under uncultured bacterium. RNAcentral's name for it is "partial 16S ribosomal RNA". It matches the Rfam family "Bacterial small subunit ribosomal RNA", at positions 524 to 776 of the family's 1533-position model. The record is from RNAcentral.